GACGAACGCUGGCGGCGUGCUUAACACAUGCAAGUCGAACGGAAAGGCCCUGCUUUUGUGGGGUGCUCGAGUGGCGAACGGGUGAGUAACACGUGAGUAACCUGCCCUUGACUUUGGGAUAACUUCAGGAAACUGGGGCUAAUACCGGAUAGGAGCUCCUGCUGCAUGGUGGGGGUUGGAAAGUUUCGGCGGUUGGGGAUGGACUCGCGGCUUAUCAGCUUGUUGGUGGGGUAGUGGCUUACCAAGGCUUUGACGGGUAGCCGGCCUGAGAGGGUGACCGGGCACAUUGGGACUGGGAUACGGCCCAGACUCCUACGGGAGGCAGCAGUGGGGAAUAUUGCACCAUGGGGGGACGCCUGAUGCAGCAACGCCGCGUGCGGGAUGACGGACUUCGGGUUGUAAACCGCUUUCGCCUGUGACGAAGCGUGAGUGACGGUAAUGGGUAAAGAAGCACCGGCUAACUACGUG
This 468-nucleotide ribosomal RNA is filed under the name uncultured bacterium. Its description in RNAcentral is "partial 16S ribosomal RNA". It matches the Rfam family "Bacterial small subunit ribosomal RNA", at positions 28 to 507 of the family's 1533-position model. The record is from RNAcentral.